GUUGUCCAGGAAAUGAAUAUAAGUUCAGCUUUAAAAAAUACCAAAAAUAUAAAUAAAUGCACUGUAUUUUUAAAAGUUAGUCUAAAAGGGUACAGCCUUUUAGAAACGGAUACAACCUUGACUAGAGAGUAAAAUUUGAUAAUACCAUAGUAGGCCCAAAAGCAGCCACCAAUUAAGAAAGCGUUAAAGCUCAACAAUUAACUUAUAUUAAUUCCAAUAACAAACAAUCAACUCCUAGCCUUAAUACUGGACUAAUCUAUAAAAAUAGAAGCAAUAAUGUUAAUAUGAGUAACAAGAAGUCUCUUCUCCUUGCACGAGUUUAAGUCAGUAUCUGAUAAUAUUCUGACUGUUAACAGCAAAAUAAGAAUAACCUAACCAUAAAUAACUUAUUAAAUAUACUGUUAAUCCAACACAGGAGUGCACUUAAGGAAAGAUUAAAAGAAGUAAAAGGAACUCGGCAAACAUUAAACCCCGCCUGUUUACCAAAAACAUCACCUCCAGCAUAACUAGUAUUGGAGGCACUGCCUGCCCAGUGACAAUCGUUAAACGGCCGCGGUAUCCUG
This 563-nucleotide ribosomal RNA is filed under the name Rangifer tarandus (reindeer). RNAcentral's name for it is "partial 16S ribosomal RNA". The record is from RNAcentral. Lineage: Eukaryota; Metazoa; Chordata; Mammalia; Artiodactyla; Cervidae.